RNAcentral lists this transfer RNA (65 nucleotides) under Fasciola jacksoni. Its description in RNAcentral is "tRNA-Asp". Lineage: Eukaryota; Metazoa; Platyhelminthes; Trematoda; Plagiorchiida; Fasciolidae. The record is from RNAcentral.
UUAUCUCUGGUUUAUUUAGAAUAUUAGCUUGUCGUGUUAGGGGAGUAUGUUGUGUACGGGGUAAG